GCCUGCCAAUUGAUAUUUUAUCGUAUGAUUUUCUAUGUUGUGAUGUUAUGCUAUUGUUUCAGAAAAAGGGAGAAGGUUUUGAUCCAUUAAAACGUUUAAUCCCGCUGCAAAUGUUUGCACCUGUCCUAAGUCAGGAAUCUGAUGUACAGUAGUUGUCGUUUGUUUAUGUAAUUUAUACGUGUUUCUCGUUUCUCGUUUUUUUAUUUAUAUAGAUUAGACCGUUGGUUUUCCCGUUUGAAUGGUUUUUCACUAGUAAUUUUGGGCCCUUUAUAGCUUGUUGUUCGGUGUGAGCCAAGGCUCCGUGUUGAAGGCCGUACACUGACCUAUAAUGGUUUACUUUUUUUUAAAUUGUUAUUUGGAUGGAUAGUUGUCUCAUUGGCACUCACAC
This 388-nucleotide long non-coding RNA is filed under the name Mytilus galloprovincialis (Mediterranean mussel). The record is from RNAcentral. Lineage: Eukaryota; Metazoa; Mollusca; Bivalvia; Mytilida; Mytilidae.